Long non-coding RNA from Artibeus jamaicensis (Jamaican fruit-eating bat), 1881 nucleotides. RefSeq lists it as uncharacterized. NCBI's taxonomy places the organism in Eukaryota, Metazoa, Chordata, Mammalia, Chiroptera, Phyllostomidae. The transcript is spliced from 3 exons. The record is from RefSeq and is a predicted model, not a curated record.
GUGCGGGCGUUCCGCUCUUGCGCGAGUGUGGGCGUUAUGUGGCGACGCGUCCUUUCUGGGAGCCUCGGGGGCCAUCCGGUCGGCUCUGGCUAGUGGCGGUCCAGGCCCGCGGGGGUGACGCGUGCUUUCCACUGCCACGGGCGCCAGCCUGUGGCCUCGGUCCCCGCCCCGGGGGUUAACGAAACUCCGCCGAGGCGGGAACGCCUCCGCGGGGCCGGGGACCUCAGGGAUGGCUUGCACCCUGGAGGCCGAGGGAACUUGGCCCCACGCGGACUCCCAAGGGUGUUCUCGGAAAAUGAGAAGUCGCCGGCCCCCAGCGUUCGGGCAGGGAGGGCACACAGGGUUAUUGCCGCCUGCUCCUCCUCGAUGAUAUUCGAGUGACCUCGAUUUGGGGGAAUCCAGGUACGUUAGCUUGGAAGCUAAGGGUCUAAGGCACACGGUCUGGCUAAAGGCUCCUGUGUUGCUGAACCUGCCCAGCGGCGGGUGCGGUGCGUACCAGGCAGCCCUACCCUGACCCAGAGUAAAUGCCCGGCCUGGGCUUUGAAUUUGCAGUAACAGGUGUGAACAUUCUAGCAGCAGUUUGAUGAUCAUGUAUGAUACUGCAAACACGACUGAGCGCGGAGAGCGGAAACUGUCGGGGUUUUCUGAACCCUGUGCACGGUGGACAUAAUACUUACCAGUGCUUCGGUGGUCCACCUGGCUAAGUGUUAAGGAUACUGAGGAAUGCGGGAGCCGUGGCCCCCGUUCUCCCCCAGCUAUGGCCCAGUGGGAGAGACGAGGUCAUGUGAUCACAGUAGGGAGGGCGAGGGGAGCACAGUUUCCUAUGAGAACGCGCCUCACCAGCAGCCUGAUGCAGACUGGGACACAUUCCUGAGGCCCCUGAGCUGGGCUCGGAGGGGUGCGUGGGAAAACCGGCCCUGCGUGUGUGGACACGCCCAGUGGUCUAGCAGGUGUGGCGGGCAGAGGUCCUGACAGGAAGCUGCUGCAGCUGUGGCGGGAACUGUGUGGGAUGGAGCUUGAAAGGUAGGAGAGGGCCAGGCCACAGGGCGUCUUUCCUGAGGAUGGGGGAGCAUGUCAUAGAUUUUAAACCAGAGGGUGGUGUGCAAAAACCCACCAUUUCUAAAGUGCUCCCUUUGCAGAAGGACGCCAUCUGGCCUUCUGCAGUGAUGGAGGCGCUCUAUGUCCACAGGGUCCAGCAGAACGGCCACAGGCCAGGGGCUCAUGAGCACUUGCAGGGCGGCUGGUGUGACUGCGGAGCUGGCUUUUCAAAGGUAAUGUCAGCGGCGUGGCCGCCGUGGUGGACAGAGCACAUUGGAGGGAGCCGUGGCCCUGUGCGGCAUUCAGGACACACAAAGCUGCUUUUUCGUGUCGCCUGCACCUCACCCCUUCCUGGGGACAGCCUUCGGGUGACUGCUCCUGAGGAUCUCGUGUACACAGCGUGGCAGCUGGUGGAGCAGCUUCUGUUCUCUGGGCUGUAGGUCGGCCAGCUCCCCGGGAAGCAGCAUUCUUCCUCCUCCCCGCUUUGCCUGUGUUGUCGCCAGCACUCGGGUUGAGGGGUGACGUCUUCAGCACAUCCAAGCACCCACCGGUCAAAGCAUUACGCCUGUGCCUUGGAGGGGUUUAAAGAGCAGCGGUCCCUGGUGGUGAGGGACUUAGACCUAAAGAGGGAGUGCCCCGGAUGGCUUGUGCAAGCGCCGAGGGAAGGUCUGCCGAUGUCCUUUCUGCCUGGUCCUCCGUGUCCAGAAGGUUGCUGCUUCGUUUCAGGGCCUUCCGGGCGUGUUCGGCUUCACUGUGAACCACGCCAUUGUUUAACGCUGACCCGUGUGAGACCCUGCUUCGUGUGGCUGUAAAUAAAUGGAGUCAGACUCCAGUGAGACUUUC